RNAcentral lists this ribosomal RNA (466 nucleotides) under uncultured bacterium. RNAcentral's name for it is "bacterial SSU rRNA". It matches the Rfam family "Bacterial small subunit ribosomal RNA", at positions 329 to 793 of the family's 1533-position model. The record is from RNAcentral.
UUCCAGACUCCUACGGGAGGCAGCAGUGAGGAAUAUUGGUCAAUGGGCGGGAGCCUGAACCAGCCAAGCCGCGUGAGGGAAGAAGGUACAGCGUAUCGUAAACCUCUUUUGUCAGGGAACAAAGGCGGGGACUAGUCCCCGGAUGAGGGUACCUGAAGAAAAAGCAUCGGCUAACUCCGUGCCAGCAGCCGCGGUAAUACGGAGGAUGCGAGCGUUAUCCGGAUUUAUUGGGUUUAAAGGGUGCGCAGGCGGCCUGUUAAGUCAGCGGUAAAAGCCCGGGGCUCAACCCCGGCCUGCCGGCGGAACUGGGUGCCUUGAGUGGGCGAGAAGUAUGCGGAAUGCGUGGUGUAGCGGUGAAAUGCAUAGAUAUCACGCAGAACUCCGAUUGCGAAGGCAGCAUACCGGCGCUCAACUGACGCUCAUGCACGAAAGCGUGGGUAUCGAACAGGAUUAGAUACCCCAGUAU